GCCGGAGUGGCUUAGCUGGUUAUAUUGCGUAAAAAGCGCAUCAGACUAAAGCGCCAGACUCAUAAUCUGGAGGCCGCGGGCUCGAAUCCCGCCUCCGGCA
This 100-nucleotide transfer RNA is filed under the name Promethearchaeota archaeon. Its description in RNAcentral is "Candidatus Lokiarchaeota archaeon (microbial mat metagenome) tRNA-Met". It matches the Rfam family "tRNA". From Rfam's summary of the family: Transfer RNA (tRNA) molecules are approximately 80 nucleotides in length. Their secondary structure includes four short double-helical elements and three loops (D, anti-codon, and T loops). Further hydrogen bonds mediate the characteristic L-shaped molecular structure. tRNAs have two regions of fundamental functional importance: the anti-codon, which is responsible for specific mRNA codon recognition, and the 3' end, to which the tRNAs corresponding amino acid is attached (by aminoacyl-tRNA synthetases). tRNAs cope with the degeneracy of the genetic code in two manners: having more than one tRNA (with a specific anti-codon) for a particular amino acid; and 'wobble' base-pairing, i.e. permitting non-standard base-pairing at the 3rd anti-codon position. Lineage: Archaea; Promethearchaeati; Promethearchaeota. The record is from RNAcentral.